RNAcentral lists this ribosomal RNA (253 nucleotides) under uncultured bacterium. RNAcentral's name for it is "partial 16S ribosomal RNA". It matches the Rfam family "Bacterial small subunit ribosomal RNA", at positions 524 to 776 of the family's 1533-position model. The record is from RNAcentral.
UACGGAGGGUGCAAGCGUUAUCCGGAUUCACUGGGUUUAAAGGGUGCGUAGGUGGCGCCGUAAGUCAGGUGUGAAAUCCCGGGGCUCAACCCCGGAACUGCACUUGAUACUGCGGUGCUCGAGUACUGGAGAGGAGAUUGGAAUUUACGGUGUAGCAGUGAAAUGCGUAGAUAUCGUAAGGAAGACCAGUGGCGAAGGCGAAUCUCUGGACAGUUACUGACACUGAGGCACGAAGGCCAGGGGAGCAAACGGG